Molecule: non-coding RNA, 101 nt
Organism: Chelonoidis abingdonii (Abingdon island giant tortoise)
Lineage: Eukaryota; Metazoa; Chordata; Testudines; Testudinidae
Source: RefSeq, a predicted model, not a curated record
CUGUCACCUAUCUCUGGAAAACAACAACAGAGAGAAAGGGGAAUUUUUCCCCCCAUUUUAAAAAGUUCUAGCCCUCUCAUUGGCUCUUUUGGUCAGGUGCC